This 424-nucleotide unclassified non-coding RNA is filed under the name uncultured Agaricales. RNAcentral describes it as "sequence contains ITS2". The stretch from base 1 to 154 matches the Rfam family "5.8S ribosomal RNA". Lineage: Eukaryota; Fungi; Basidiomycota; Agaricomycetes; Agaricales. The record is from RNAcentral.
AACUUUUGGCAAUGGAUCUCUUGGCUCUCGCAUCGAUGAAGAACGCAGCGAAAUGCGAUAAGUAAUGUGAAUGGCAGAAUUUAGUGAAUCAUCGAAUCUUUGAACGCACCUUGCGCUCCUUGGUGUUCCGAGGAGCAUGCCUGUUUGAGUGUCAUUAAAUUCUCAACCUUAUCAGUUUAUUUCUGAUAGUGGCUUGGAUGUGGGGGUUUUCUUGCUGGCUGAGGUCAGCUCCCCUUAAAUGCAUUAGCUGGUGCCCCGUGUGGACUGUCUAUUGGUGUGAUAAUUAUCUACGCCAUGGAUGUCUGCAAUCAUAAGGGUUUAGCACUGCUUCUAACCGUCUGUUAAUUCGGACAAUACAUGACAAUUUGACCUAAAAUCAGGUAGGACUACCCGCUGAACUUAAGCAUAUCAAUAAGCGGAGGAU